This is a long non-coding RNA of Gallus gallus (chicken), 4401 nucleotides long. RefSeq lists it as uncharacterized. NCBI's taxonomy places the organism in Eukaryota, Metazoa, Chordata, Aves, Galliformes, Phasianidae. The transcript has 3 exons. The record is from RefSeq and is a predicted model, not a curated record.
GAGGGAGCGGCUGUGGCGGCCGAGACGGGGGGUGGAUCGCGCUGUGCUGCCCGGCCGCGCUGCGGUACCGACCCGACCCGGCCCGGCGACCGGCCCCGCUCUACGGCGGGCAGCCCGAUAGGCACAGGGAGCGAGGACCGGGAGCUGGAUGGCGGUGUGGAGGCCUGAGGCGAAGGCUAAGCCUGCCCCUCCCCGGGCCGCCUUCAGCGAGCUUCGGCGCGGGUCUCCGCGUUGAGAGAAGUGAUGAGUCAGGUUUGCUCGGCUCCAUGCUAAUGCACGGAGAUGGAGGGUGUAAUUAGUAGAGAGGCAGGGCUGUGAUCUGCAGCGCGGGGCGGCCGGGCCACGCACCUCCUCUGUGCUUCAGAGCGUCGCUGAAGUUCUCCUUGUUUCGUGCUCCUCCAGCCCCAACGGUGUAUAUGCAGGGUUUGGUGGGAGCAGAGCCACAGACGUCGGAAGGUGUCUGUGUGUGAAACACCCCGCGUUAUGUAAUUCUGAUGUUGAAAGAUGACGGUAAGAAGGAUUUGAUUUAGUCAUGGAAACUGAAUAUUGCGGCUCCCCAAAUCUCUAAGAAGACUUAGGAUGUUGCAUACAGCGUUCUCAAGGUUUCUCCCGUCCAAGUAAUUGUAAAUGGCCCGCUUGAGAGCUGUGAUCUGCUUUAUAUGCUUUCAUCCAUUAGAAUACCUCCUGUCUUUGCAAAACGACACAUUGUGUAAUUUAGGCAACUGGCUGGGCUAAGAAGGGCACAAUGAAGUGAGUAAUUUACAUCUCUUAGGGAGAUUAAUUGAACCCAGCUCUGGUCGUCUUCAAGAACUACUGAGAAGUUUCUCGGCAAACUUCUCCACCCGAAGUAAAAUCACAGCCUCUGCCACCUUGCCCCUUCCAGCAGCUUCUGAAGGAAUCUUCACCUCAAACAGAGCUGUCAGCAGCACUGAGGGCUGCCACUCACCAGUCAUUUCAAUGCGGAAAGCACUCGAGACACAGCAACAGGCAACAGAACGCAGCGCUCACAGAGAAACAAAUUGACAAGUACCCACGACUGGACAUCCUCAGAAACACGGUUGUGUCCUGUUCCUCUCCACUGCAGUUAUUCCCACUCAGAGUGACCACUUCAGAGCUUUAACAAAGCCCAUUACAAACGGGAACAUUUUCCGUUAGCCAAAUGUGAAUCCUGUGAACAAAUGCUGGUGAGUCCAGGAUUUGAGGUCUGCACAACAGCUGCUGACUCAUCAGGAUUUUGUCACUUCCCUGAAGAUGUUGCUGAGUGUUGGCUUCGGAUCUCAGGUGUCCCUCAUUAAGAACUGCCUAUUUUGCCUCAAACCCUCUUGUGGCAGCCAGGCUGCUGAGGAGCCAAGAGUUCAAAAGCUGAAGGGCUAAAAAGAGGGCAAGCAAGAGGGAGCUUUGGUUCAGUUGUGUGCCUGGCCAGCCUUUUUUUUUUUUUUUUUUUUUUUGCACAGAUGUCUUUGUCUUGCUGGAAAAAAAGUUCUCAAGCAGCAGAACUUGUCUGUUCAUAUUUUGCAAAUGAAACACAUGGUACGGCAUGAUGCCAUGUUAAAGAUGGAGCUGAUCAGUGAAAUUAGCUUCCGUUACUCACUGGCAAUGGUAUGGCUUUCAUUAUUUUCACAACAAAUACAAAACUCAGCAGCCUUUAGGAUAUGGCACAUAAUUAAUGUCCAUUUCCCAUUGAAGCCCCCCAAGAUAUGACUCUAAGUACAUUGGAAGAUGAGGCUGAAUUGUAACACAGUUUUAUUCUUUGUUUCUGGACAAAGAAGGCUGAAGUGAUGAAACAUUUGCAUCUGUUUUAAACUUGGCUUAUUUCAUUUUUAAUUUUUUUUUUUUUUAAUCCCACUGCAUUAUUUUUCUGACGGCUACACCCUGAAAAAACAGGUUGUCAGUGCAAGCAGGGUUUUCUCAGAAGGUACCCACAAGAAGCAAUUAGACGUGUGAGCAAAGGCAGUCAGCACAUGGGAUCCUCCCCAGCGAAACAGGCUCAGCGCUGAAGGCUCGUCUGCAUGGCAUGUUUCUUCUUUCAUCGAACACCAGCAAAAUGCCAGGAACAUUCCUGGACAGGAGAAAUCUUGAAUUCUGCAAUUCAGCCUUAAAGAAACACUCCUCUGGGGAACUGCCCAACUGCCUGAUGGAAAUGAGUGACUCCUGUAUGCAGAUCUGCCUUCGAAGACUCUGACCUAUUUCAGCCCAGCUUUGCAGAACACACAAGCUCUAUUUAUGAUGCUGCAGGAAGGGAAAGGCAGGGUGCAAGCAAUGCACCUUGCUCUGCUGGGAAAGAGCUGGCAGCCCCAGCUCCAGCAGUGAAGCCCCGCAUCAGGAGAUGGUGGGACCUGGCUCCUGUUGGGGCAAUGAGUAACAUCAUCACAUCUGACUGAACCUCUGGCAUGUAGACUUGACUACUUACUCUUGCUGCAGAAGCAUUUAUAUUGACACAGAUUCAGGAAGAUGCUGCACAGCAGAAUCAGGGAAACAACUGUUUUAUAAGCAGAGUGAUGCCUUCAUACAGCACAGCAGUGUGAUCUGCGAUGGAAAACAUAACAGGACUGUAUUCCACAGCAAGGUCAUGUUUUGAGAAUUUUAUUCGUCCUCAUUUCUAUUAAAGUGUCUUUUUACAGGGAGAAAUAACUUCUUUUAGUUAUGCUGUAUUGCUCUUGAAACUUAACCUUCCUCUAGCUGGGCUCUAUAAAUCACGGAUUUUCUUAUAAACAGAUUACAGAUCCACUUACAUCUUUGUAUUAUUUGGCUCCUUCAUUUCAGAAACAGUAUGGGCCAUAUUCUUCCCUGGCAUAGCUCCAUUCCCAGUAUUCUUAUUUUGAGGAUGCUGGGCCAGAUUCCUGAUCUCUCUGCUUUGUCAAUGGGCGCUCAGAGCCAUGCUGCUGCGAUCACUGCUGUCACAUAUCAGUAACACCACUCUGCUGCUGAGCAGAACAUAGCCCUCUGCUUAAACAGCACUUUGAUCAAGUGAAAUAAGGAAAAUAUUGCUGAAUGUAGCCUUCAGCAUAUUACUUGUUCUGCUGAAAGAUCAUCCGCUCUUGGCUUAGCUUAUUUCAAGCAUGACAGUCCAGGAAAAAGAGUGUACCUGUGAGUGAAAUAAGACUCAGUGGGAGUCAAUAAGACCCAAAGUAUUGCGGUAUUCAUAAAUGUAUAUUUGUGCUGAAGCAUGCUAAACCUCAAAGGCUGGAUAUAAAUAUCAAUGUCUAUUGAAUUUCAGGAAGAGAUGGCUGGUGGAAAGCAUGCCCGAUGCCGUUCUGCAAUGUGCAACCCUGUUUACACAGGGGCUAUUCAUAGGCACGUUCCUGCUGCUGGGCAGGGAAUUUGCCUCUUCCCAGCCAGCUCAUGCAAAGCAAAUUCUCCUCUAUAGUUCUCAGGCUGGAGAUUUAGCUCCCUUGAAGUAAAGCAGCAGUGCUGUGCUUCCAUGCAAGCGAUGGGCCAGCUGAAGGUGCGGGACAAGGAGCUGCCCAAAACCUGCCAAAGGACAAAAGCAGCUUCAUAAAGGCAGAGGUCAAAAUGGCACUGAUGUCUCCUUGUGAUCAAAUGCAGGCUGCACUUCUUUAAUCAGAAAAUGUGCCACAGUUGGAAUCCGGCAAAAUGAAUUCUAAGCACGUCCCUUCUGCAGCCAGUUUUCCUUCUGCCCACUGGGACAGUGGAGAGAUGACACAGUUCAGAAGUAAACCCACAGCACGGAUUUGUGAUUCUGUCAGAUUGGGUUCUCCUUCCCCACUCCUGGACUUGCUCUGGAGGUCUCUAGGCUUUAUGAAGCUGUAAUGGACAAGGAGAGCACUGGGGAAUUAAAGCCCACCUGCCUCCUGCUAUCCCCUUUCAGGGCUUUUUGGACUGGUGCUUCCUGGAGCUAGUGAGAUCCGUUCAUGAAAGGUGCUGAAUGGCAAACACAAAAGUCCAGAAAGAGUAGUUGUCUUAGGAGUUAUUGAGAACAGUGCCUACUACUUGACAAGCUGCAGAGAAAGUAAAGCCAGAAAAUGCCCACAUUGAGAACAAAGCUGAUGUGACGACUGAGUGCCUGAGAAUGGCACCAAUGGGAAGAGCUCAGCGCGGCAUAUCUGGAGUUAUCUGAGUGACUGAUGGAGAUAAAUUGUGUUCUGCUCACCAGAAAGGCAGUGUGAUAGUUCUGGUGUGAUCUCAUUUUCUUCUGCUAUCAACGCUUUCCUGCCGUUCAUGCUGGGGUGAUUAGCCAAGGCAGGAUCUCUCAGGAGAGGUAAAAGGCCUGGUGGGAUGUUGGCCAUCUAAUUAGCUGCCACUCUCAUUAGCUCAGGGAAAAAGCUGUGUGGGGUUCCCUCCCCCCUCCCCAGCACCUGGGUUACAUCCAUCCGUGAAAGCUAUCAAAAGAGGAGAACGCUUCUUGUUGUGAGUAAACGAGGCAUGGGCAUGGCCUGUGCU